CAUGUCUUUUUGAUAAUAAUUUAAGGUUUAACCUGCUCUAUGAUAAAUUAAAUGGCCGCGAUAUUUUGAUCGUGCGAAGGUAGCAUAAUAAUUAGUUUUUUAAUUGAAAGCUGGAAUGAAUGGUUGGACGAAAAAAUAACUGUUUCAAUUUAAAUUAAAUAAAAUUUUAUUUUUAAGUUAAAAAGCUUAAAUUUUAAUUAAAGACGAGAAGACCCUAUAGAGUUUUAUAUUUAAUUAUUUAAAAUUUUAAAGAAUUAAAUUUUUUAAAAUAAUUUAAUUAUUUUGUUGGGGUGACAGAAAAAUUAAAUAAACUUUUUUUUUAUUUUUAUAUUUAUAAAUAAUUUAUUGAUCCAUAAAUUAUGAUUAAAAGAAUAAAUUACCUUAGGGAUAACAGCGUAAUAUUUUUUGAGAGUUCUUAUCGAAAAAAGAGAUUGCGACCUCGAUGUUGGAUUAAAGUUAAAAUUUGGUGUAGAAGCUAAAUUAUUUAGUCUGUUCGACUAUUAAAACUUUACAUGAUCUGAGU
RNAcentral lists this ribosomal RNA (523 nucleotides) under Chrysobothris sp. UPOL RK0813. RNAcentral describes it as "partial 16S ribosomal RNA". The stretch from base 387 to 523 matches the Rfam family "Bacterial large subunit ribosomal RNA", at positions 2473 to 2610 of the family's 2925-position model. Lineage: Eukaryota; Metazoa; Arthropoda; Insecta; Coleoptera; Buprestidae. The record is from RNAcentral.